RNAcentral lists this ribosomal RNA (253 nucleotides) under uncultured bacterium. RNAcentral describes it as "partial 16S ribosomal RNA". It matches the Rfam family "Bacterial small subunit ribosomal RNA", at positions 524 to 776 of the family's 1533-position model. The record is from RNAcentral.
UACAGAGGUGGCUAGCGUUAUUCGGAAUUAUUGGGCGUAAAGGGCGCGUAGGCGGCUAGGCAAGUCACAGGUGAAAUCCCUCGGCUUAACCGAGGAACUGCCUUUGAAACUGCCUGGCUUGAGGCCGGGAGAGGGUAGCGGAAUUCCCAGUGUAGCGGUGAAAUGCGUAGAUACUGGGAGGAACACCGGUGGCGAAGGCGGCUACCUGGACCGGUUCUGACGCUGAGGCGCGAAAGCGUGGGGAGCAAACAGG